Molecule: ribosomal RNA, 468 nt
Filed under: uncultured bacterium
Lineage: Bacteria
Description: partial 16S ribosomal RNA
Rfam family: Bacterial small subunit ribosomal RNA
Source: RNAcentral
GACGAACGCUGGCGGCGUGCUUAACACAUGCAAGUCGAACGGAAAGGCCCUGCUUUUGUGGGGUGCUCGAGUGGCGAACGGGUGAGUAACACGUGAGUAACCUGCCCUUGACUUUGGGAUAACUUCAGGAAACUGGGACUAAUACCGGAUAGGAUCUCCUGCUGCCUGGUGGGGGUUGGAAAGUUUCGGCGGUUGGGGAUGGACUCGCGGCUUAUCAGCUUGUUGGUGGGGUAGUGGCUUACCAAGGCUUUGACGGGUAGCCGGCCUGAGAGGGUGACCGGCCACAUUGGGACUGAGAUACGGCCCAGACUCCUACGGGAGGCAGCAGUGGGGAAUAUUGCACAAUGGGCGGAAGCCUGAUGCAACAACGCCGCGGGCGGGAUGACGGCCUUCGGGUUGUAAACCGCUUUCGCCUGUGACGAAGCGUGAGUGACGGUAAUGGGUAAAGAAGCACCGGCUAACUACGUG